ACGUAGGGGGCAAGCGUUAUCCGGAUUUACUGGGUGUAAAGGGAGCGCAGACGGCAAUGCAAGUCUGAAGUGAAAGGCGUGGGCUCAACCCAUGAACUGCUUUGGAAACUGUAUAGCUUGAGUGUCGGAGGGGUAAGCGGAAUUCCUAGUGUAGCGGUGAAAUGCGUAGAUAUUAGGAGGAACACCGGAGGCGAAGGCGGCUUACUGGACGACAACUGACGUUGAGGCUCGAAGGCGUGGGGAGCAAACAGG
This 252-nucleotide ribosomal RNA is filed under the name uncultured bacterium. RNAcentral describes it as "partial 16S ribosomal RNA". It matches the Rfam family "Bacterial small subunit ribosomal RNA", at positions 525 to 776 of the family's 1533-position model. The record is from RNAcentral.